RNAcentral lists this transfer RNA (72 nucleotides) under Wolbachia pipientis. RNAcentral describes it as "tRNA-Gly". It matches the Rfam family "tRNA". From Rfam's summary of the family: Transfer RNA (tRNA) molecules are approximately 80 nucleotides in length. Lineage: Bacteria; Pseudomonadati; Pseudomonadota; Alphaproteobacteria; Rickettsiales; Anaplasmataceae. The record is from RNAcentral.
GCGGGUAUAGCUCAAUGGUAGAGCUCUAGCCUUCCAAGCUAGUGAAGUGGGUUCGAUUCCCACUAUCCGCUC